RNAcentral lists this long non-coding RNA (319 nucleotides) under Trifolium pratense (red clover). RNAcentral's name for it is "long non-coding RNA (TPRA_LNC004561)". The record is from RNAcentral. Lineage: Eukaryota; Viridiplantae; Streptophyta; Magnoliopsida; Fabales; Fabaceae.
CGGAGUGGUGAUUUAGAGAUGGAGAAUGGAUGGAAGAAUCUAGAAGAAGAAGAAGAAGAAGAGGUUGUUAUGAAACGGAUAUGGUGUGUUAGAAAUAUUGGUUUCACCAUUGUUACAGAAUAUUGGUUUUCUUGGUCUCUUUGUUAUUGUAAUUGUAAAAAUUGAAUUAGAAUUGUGUUGUUAUUGUGCUGCCAUGGAGUUUUCACUCAUUUGCUUCAUUUGAUGAAUUCAUGAAAUUUUCACCAUUUCAAUUAAAACAGUGGCGGCGGCGGCAAGGAUGAAGAAGGAAAGAAGAAGUAACAUGCGUUUUGAGUCUUUU